GACCAAGGAGUCUAACAUGUGCGCGAGUCACUGGGAUUUCGGAGAAAACCCAAGGCGAAGUGAAAGCGGGGCGAACCCUUUGCGGUCGCCCGGGGAGGACGGCGUCGGGUCAACCGGCGCCCGCACUCCCGGGGCGCCUNGGMCUCUCGGCCGCAGGCGCACCCGGAGCGUACACGUUGGGACCCGAAAGAUGGUGAACUAUGCCUGGUCAGGACGAAGUCAGGGGAAACCCUGAUGGAGGUCCGCAGCGAUUCUGACGUGCAAAUCGAUCGUCAGAGCUGGGUAUAGGGGCGAAAGACUAAUCGAACCAUCUAGUAGCUGGUUCCCUCCGAAGUUUCCCUCAGGAUAGCUGGCGUCCAUUUCGACCGGGACGAGUCUCAUCCGGUAAAGCGAAUGAUUAGAGGCCUUGGGGCCGAAACGACCUCAACCUAUUCUCAAACUUUAAAUGGGUGAGAUCUCCGGCUUGCUUGGCUGAAGCCGCGAGGUCUGGAUCAGGGUGCCAAGUGGGCCAUUUUU
RNAcentral lists this ribosomal RNA (516 nucleotides) under Periplaneta americana (American cockroach). Its description in RNAcentral is "partial large subunit ribosomal RNA". The record is from RNAcentral. Lineage: Eukaryota; Metazoa; Arthropoda; Insecta; Blattodea; Blattidae.